This 524-nucleotide ribosomal RNA is filed under the name uncultured bacterium. RNAcentral's name for it is "partial 16S ribosomal RNA". It matches the Rfam family "Bacterial small subunit ribosomal RNA", at positions 28 to 523 of the family's 1533-position model. The record is from RNAcentral.
GACGAACGCUGGCGGCGUGCCUAAUACAUGCAAGUCGAGCGCAGGAAAUCGACGGAACCCUUCGGGGGGAAGUCGACGGAAUGAGCGGCGGACGGGUGAGUAACACGUAAAGAACCUGCCCUCAGGUCUGGGAUAACCACGAGAAAUCGGGGCUAAUACCGGAUGGGUCGUCGGACCGCAUGGUCCGAGGAUGAAAGGCGCUUCGGCGUCGCCUGGGGAUGGCUUUGCGGUGCAUUAGCUAGUUGGUGGGGUAAUGGCCCACCAAGGCGACGAUGCAUAGCCGAACUGAGAGGGUGAUCGGCCACACUGGGACUGAGACACGGCCCAGACUCCUACGGGAGGCAGCAGUAGGGAAUCUUCCACAAUGGACGAAAGUCUGAUGGAGCAACGCCGCGUGAACGAUGAAGGCCUUCGGGUCGUAAAGUUCUGUUGUAAGGGAAGAACAAGUGCCGCAGGCAAUGGCGGCACCUUGACGGUACCUUGCGAGAAAGCCACGGCUAACUACGUGCCAGCCGCCGCCGUAA